UGGGGAAUAUUGCACAAUGGGCGCAAGCCUGAUGCAGCCAUGCCGCGUGUAUGAAGAAGGCCUUCGGGUUGUAAAGUACUUUCAGCGAGGAGGAAGGCGUUAAGGUUAAUAACCUUGGCGAUUGACGUUACUCGCAGAAGAAGCACCGGCUAACUCCGUGCCAGCAGCCGCGGUAAUACGGAGGGUGCAAGCGUUAAUCGGAAUUACUGGGCGUAAAGCGCACGCAGGCGGUCUGUUAAGUCAGAUGUGAAAUCCCCGGCUCAGCCUGGAACUGGCAUUGAACU
Molecule: ribosomal RNA, 284 nt
Filed under: uncultured Enterobacteriaceae bacterium
Lineage: Bacteria; Pseudomonadati; Pseudomonadota; Gammaproteobacteria; Enterobacterales; Enterobacteriaceae
Description: partial 16S ribosomal RNA
Rfam family: Bacterial small subunit ribosomal RNA
Source: RNAcentral